AUACAGAGGGUGCGAGCGUUAAUCGGAAUUACUGGGCGUAAAGCGCUCGUAGGCGGCUUGUUAAGUCGGAUGUGAAAGCCCCGGGCUCAACCUGGGAACUGCAUUCGAUACUGGCAGGCUAGAGUAUAGUAGAGGCAAGUGGAAUUCCGGGUGUAGCGGUGAAAUGCGUAGAUAUCCGGAGGAACAUCAGUGGCGAAGGCGACUUGCUGGACUAAUACUGACGCUGAGGAGCGAAAGCGUGGGGAGCAAACGGUAUUAGAAACCCCGGUAGUCC
RNAcentral lists this ribosomal RNA (274 nucleotides) under uncultured bacterium. RNAcentral describes it as "partial 16S ribosomal RNA". It matches the Rfam family "Bacterial small subunit ribosomal RNA", at positions 523 to 796 of the family's 1533-position model. The record is from RNAcentral.